Molecule: ribosomal RNA, 253 nt
Filed under: uncultured bacterium
Lineage: Bacteria
Description: partial 16S ribosomal RNA
Rfam family: Bacterial small subunit ribosomal RNA
Source: RNAcentral
UACGGAGGGUGCGAGCGUUGUCCGGAAUCACUGGGCGUAAAGGGCGCGUAGGCGGCGCGGGAAGUCCGUGGUGAAAGCCCGAGGCUCAACUUCGGGUCGGCCAUGGAUACUCCUGGGCUUGAGCACUGUAGAGGCAGGUGGAAUUCCGGGUGUAGCGGUGGAAUGCGUAGAGAUCCGGAAGAACACCAGUGGCGAAGGCGGCCCGCUGGGCAGUGGCUGACGCUGAAGCGCGACAGCGUGGGGAGCAAACAGG